GCCAGUGUGGUGCAGUGGUUUGAGCAUUGGACUAUGAAUCUGGAAACUAGGGUUUGAGUCUCUGCUUGGCCA
Molecule: non-coding RNA, 72 nt
Organism: Phrynosoma platyrhinos (Desert horned lizard)
Lineage: Eukaryota; Metazoa; Chordata; Lepidosauria; Squamata; Phrynosomatidae
Source: the annotation of a GenBank genome assembly